AUACGGAGGGGGCUAGCGUUGUUCGGAAUUACUGGGCGUAAAGCGCACGUAGGCGGCUUUGUAAGUUAGAGGUGAAAGCCUGGAGCUCAACUCCAGAACUGCCUUUAAGACUGCAUCGCUUGAAUCCAGGAGAGGUGAGUGGAAUUCCGAGUGUAGAGGUGAAAUUCGUAGAUAUUCGGAAGAACACCAGUGGCGAAGGCGGCUCACUGGACUGGUAUUGACGCUGAGGUGCGAAAGCGUGGGGAGCAAACAGGAUUAGAAACCCUAGUAGUCC
This 274-nucleotide ribosomal RNA is filed under the name uncultured bacterium. RNAcentral describes it as "partial 16S ribosomal RNA". It matches the Rfam family "Bacterial small subunit ribosomal RNA", at positions 523 to 796 of the family's 1533-position model. The record is from RNAcentral.